CCCUUAGAUGUUCUGGGCCGCACGCGUGCUACACUGAUGCAUUCAACGAGUCUAAAACCUGGUCUGAUAGGGCUGGGUAAUCUUUUGAAAGUGCAUCGUGAUUGGGAUAGAUGAUUGCAAUUCUUCAUCUUCAACGAGGAAUGCCUAGUAAACGCAAGUCAUCAGCUUGCAUUGAUUACGUCCCUGCCCUUUGUACACACCGCCCGUCGCUGCCCGGAACUGAGCCGUUUCGAGAAAGCCGGGGACUGACGGCUUGUGGGUGCGCAAGCGCUUCUUGCCGAUGGAAACCAGUUUAAUCGGUAUGGCUUGAACCGGGCAAAAGUCGUAACA
This 330-nucleotide ribosomal RNA is filed under the name uncultured eukaryote. RNAcentral describes it as "partial 18S ribosomal RNA". It matches the Rfam family "Eukaryotic small subunit ribosomal RNA", at positions 1470 to 1796 of the family's 1831-position model. The record is from RNAcentral.